AUAUUGGCCUCAACAAAGAAUUCAUCUCCGCCUGACCACGGAUGUACUGGCAGUCGUCGAGAUGGAGUGAGGAAGGUCGGUGCGAAUUUCGCCCGGCCUUUUUUGUU
Molecule: non-coding RNA, 107 nt
Filed under: Rhizobium sp. Root1212
Lineage: Bacteria; Pseudomonadati; Pseudomonadota; Alphaproteobacteria; Hyphomicrobiales; Rhizobiaceae
Description: Alphaproteobacterial sRNA ar35
Rfam family: Alphaproteobacterial sRNA ar35
Source: Rfam by way of RNAcentral